UACGGGGGGAGCAAGCGUUGUUCGGAUUUACUGGGCGUAAAGGGCGCGUAGGCGGUCAGCACAAGUCAGUUGUGAAAUCUCCGGGCUUAACUCGGAAAGGUCAACUGAUACUGUGCGACUAGAGUGCAGAAGGGGCAACUGGAAUUCUCGGUGUAGCGGUGAAAUGCGUAGAUAUCGAGAGGAACACCUGCGGCGAAGGCGGGUGCUGGGCUGACACUGACGCUGAUGCGCGAAAGCCAGGGGAGCGAACGGG
This 253-nucleotide ribosomal RNA is filed under the name uncultured bacterium. RNAcentral's name for it is "partial 16S ribosomal RNA". It matches the Rfam family "Bacterial small subunit ribosomal RNA", at positions 524 to 776 of the family's 1533-position model. The record is from RNAcentral.